CAUGCAGUCGAGCGGACAGAAGGGAGCUUGCUCCCGGAUGUUAGCGGCGGACGGGUGAGUAACACGUGGGUAACCUGCCUGUAAGACUGGGAUAACUCCGGGAAACCGGAGCUAAUACCGGAUAGUUCCUUGAACCGCAUGGUUCAAGGAUGAAAGACGGUUUCGGCUGUCACUUACAGAUGGACCCGCGGCGCAUUAGCUAGUUGGUGAGGUAACGGCUCACCAAGGCGACGAUGCGUAGCCGACCUGAGAGGGUGAUCGGCCACACUGGGACUGAGACACGGCCCAGACUCCUACGGGAGGCAGCAGUAGGGAAUCUUCCGCAAUGGACGAAAGUCUGACGGAGCAACGCCGCGUGAGUGAUGAAGGUUUUCGGAUCGUAAAGCUCUGUUGUUAGGGAAGAACAAGUGCAAGAGUAACUGCUUGCACCUUGACGGUACCUAACCAGAAAGCCACGGCUAACUACGUGCCAGCAGCCGCGGUAAUACGUAGGUGGCAAGCGUUGUCCGGAAUUAUUGGGCGUAAAGGGCUCGCAGGCGGUUUCUUAAGUCUGAUGUGAAAGCCCCCGGCUCAACCGGGGAGGGUCAUUGGAAACUGGGAAACUUGAGUGCAGAAGAGGAGAGUGGAAUUCCACGUGUAGCGGUGAAAUGCGUAGAGAUGUGGAGGAACACCAGUGGCGAAGGCGACUCUCUGGUCUGUAACUGACGCUGAGGAGCGAAAGCGUGGGGAG
This 730-nucleotide ribosomal RNA is filed under the name Bacillus pumilus. RNAcentral describes it as "bacterial SSU rRNA". It matches the Rfam family "Bacterial small subunit ribosomal RNA", at positions 54 to 768 of the family's 1533-position model. The record is from RNAcentral. Lineage: Bacteria; Bacillati; Bacillota; Bacilli; Caryophanales; Bacillaceae.